AGCAGCCGCGGUAAUUCCAGCUCCAAUAGCGUAUAUUAAAGUUGUUGCAGUUAAAAAGCUCGUAGUUGAAUUUCGGGAUCGAUAUAUCGGUCGUGCCUCGGUACGUACUGGUAUUUUCGGUUUCUCCCUUCUGACGAACCUUGAUGUCAUUAAUUUGGUGUCUUGGGGAAUCAGGACUGUUACUUUGAAAAAAUUAAAGUGUUUAAAGCAGGCUCACGCUUGAAUACAUUAGCAUGGAAUAAUGAAAUAGGACGUUUGAUUCUAUUUUGUUGGUUUCUAGGAUCGACGUAAUGAUUAAUAGGGAUAGUUGGGGGCAUUAGUAUUCAAUUGUCAGAGGUGAAAUUCUUGGAUUUACUGAAGACUAACUACUGCGAAAGCAUUUGCCAAGGAUGUUUUCAUUAAUCAAGAACGAAAGUUAGGGGAUCGAAGACGAUCAGAUACCGUCGUAGUCUUAACCAUAAACUAUGCCGACUAGGGAUCGGAUGAUGUUAAUUUUUUUAAUGACUCAUUCGGCGCCUUA
RNAcentral lists this ribosomal RNA (520 nucleotides) under uncultured Glomus. RNAcentral describes it as "SSU rRNA". It matches the Rfam family "Eukaryotic small subunit ribosomal RNA", at positions 569 to 1090 of the family's 1831-position model. The record is from RNAcentral. Lineage: Eukaryota; Fungi; Glomeromycota; Glomeromycetes; Glomerales; Glomeraceae.